This 600-nucleotide ribosomal RNA is filed under the name Trichoderma harzianum. RNAcentral describes it as "eukaryotic LSU rRNA". The stretch from base 225 to 378 matches the Rfam family "5.8S ribosomal RNA". The record is from RNAcentral. Lineage: Eukaryota; Fungi; Ascomycota; Sordariomycetes; Hypocreales; Hypocreaceae.
GGAACCAGCGGAGGGAUCAUUACCGAGUUUACAACUCCCAAACCCAAUGUGAACGUUACCAAACUGUUGCCUCGGCGGGAUCUCUGCCCCGGGUGCGUCGCAGCCCCGGACCAAGGCGCCCGCCGGAGGACCAACCAAAACUCUUAUUGUAUACCCCCUCGCGGGUUUUUUUUAUAAUAUGAGCCUUCUCGGCGCCUCUGGUAGGCGUUUCGAAAAUGAAUCAAAACUUUCAACAACGGAUCUCUUGGUUCGGGCAUCGAUGAAGAACGCAGCGAAAUGCGAUAAGUAAUGUGAAUUGCAGAAUUCAGUGAAUCAUCGAAUCUUUGAACGCACAUUGCGCCCGCCAGUAUUCUGGCGGGCAUGCCUGUCCGAGCGUCAUUUCAACCCUCGAACCCCUCCGGGGGGUCGGCGUUGGGGAUCGGCCCUGCCUUGGCGGUGGCCGUCUCCGAAAUACAGUGGCGGUCUCGCCGCAGCCUCUCCUGCGCAGUAGUUUGCACACUCGCAUCGGGAGCGCGGCGCGUCCACAGCCGUUAAACACCCAACUUCUGAAAUGUUGACCUCGGAUCAGGUAGGAAUACCCGCUGAACUUAAGCAUAUCAA